Molecule: ribosomal RNA, 494 nt
Filed under: uncultured bacterium
Lineage: Bacteria
Description: partial 16S ribosomal RNA
Rfam family: Bacterial small subunit ribosomal RNA
Source: RNAcentral
UGGGGGAAUAUUGGACAAUGGGCGAAAGCCUGAUCCAGCCAUGCCGCGUGAGUGAUGAAGGCCCUAGGGUUGUAAAGCUCUUUCACCGGUGAAGAUAAUGACGGUAACCGGAGAAGAAGCCCCGGCUAACUUCGUGCCAGCAGCCGCGGUAAUACGAAGGGGGCUAGCGUUGUUCGGAAUUACUGGGCGUAAAGCGCACGUAGGCGGAUAUUUAAGUCAGGGGUGAAAUCCCCGGGGGCUCAACCCCCGGAACUGCCUUUGAUACUGGGUAUCUAGAGUAUGGUAGAGGUAAGUGGAAAUUCCGAGUGUAGAGGUGAAAAUUCGUAGAUAUUCGGAGGAAACACCAGUGGGCGAAGGCGGCUCACUGGACCAUUACUGACGCUGAGGUGCGAAAAGCGUGGGGGAGCAAAACAGGAUUAGAUACCCCUGGGUAGUCCACGCCCGUAAACGAUGGAAGCUAGCCGUUGGCAGGCUUACCUGUCGGUGGCGCAGCU